GUGAGGAAUAUUGGUCAAUGGCCGAGAGGCUGAACCAGCCAUGCCGCGUGCGGGAGGACGGCCCUAUGGGUUGUAAACCGCUUUUGUUGGGGAGCAAUAAGGGUCACGCGUGACCUGAUGAGAGUACCCAGCGAAUAAGCAUCGGCUAACUCCGUGCCAGCAGCCGCGGUAAUACGGAGGAUGCGAGCGUUAUCCGGAUUUAUUGGGUUUAAAGGGUGCGUAGGCGGGUUCUUAAGCGUGAGGUGAAAUGCCACGGCUCAACCGUGGAACUGCCUCGCGAACUGGGAGUCUGGAAUGCCCCUGCCGUGGGAGGAAUGUGUGGUGUAGCGGUGAAAUGCAUAGAGAUCACACAGAACACCGAUUGCGAAGGCAUCUCACGAAGGGGUGAUUGACGCUGAGGCACGAAAGCGUGGGGAUCAAACAGGAUUAGAAACCCUAGUAGUCC
RNAcentral lists this ribosomal RNA (445 nucleotides) under uncultured bacterium. RNAcentral's name for it is "bacterial SSU rRNA". It matches the Rfam family "Bacterial small subunit ribosomal RNA", at positions 354 to 796 of the family's 1533-position model. The record is from RNAcentral.